AUUGCUUUUUAAGUCAGUUGAUCAAAACUAUAGGAAAAUGUUAAUAUGAACCACGCAAGCAAGCAAGAGUUUCCUAAAAAUUGACGCACUGAUUCAUUCAGGGUGUAUGGGCUCAAACAGGUUCCAACGAGAAAUUCUUCACUGGAAAUUGGUAAAAUCUAAUAAGGAGGUAUACUUUGUUGGAUAUAGAAGCAAAUGAGUUUUGUUAUGAAGACUGGUUCCUUCAAGAGGAAUUCUCAUGGUAGUGCAGCCUCUUAUUGGAAAUAAGUGUUGAUUCGUGAUCCUGAGGAAUACUUUGUUGGAGGGAUUUGUUCUGCCUGCUUGAAGCUGAUAUCGGUGUUGUAAUCUCUCCAAAGGUAGAAAAUAAGUGUUGUGUCAAUUUUGUUCCUCUCCUCCCUGGCGUCGUGAAUGAACUGAGAGAAUGUAUCAGAACAACUAAUCAUCUGGCUGGAAGGGUAUAUCUAGAGUUCUUUGGUUAGCUUGAACCGCAGUAGACCAAAGAGAUCUUAUAAUUCCUGUAAUUUUUCAAAAUCAAUUCAUCGUUAAACCACUUUUAAACUGUGGAAUUCUGAGAAGGCAUGUGCUCCUGAAGAAAACCCACACCAAAAGUUUGAGGGACGGACCGUACUCUCGGGGGAAAUGUUGAUCGAGUCUUACAGCCUUUCUGCUUAUUUUUUUGGUAGAUGUAAUUUUGCUUUGUUGAUUUCUGUUAUGCACUUAUUUUGAUCUGACUGUUGAAAUUGUUCAUGUCAUGGUAAUAUGGGAUUAUGUUAUAACGCGAAUUUAGGGUUAUGUAACUUGGGUUGACUCAACAAC
Papaver somniferum (opium poppy) is the source of this 816-nucleotide long non-coding RNA. RefSeq lists it as uncharacterized. The transcript has 3 exons. The record is from RefSeq and is a predicted model, not a curated record. NCBI's taxonomy places the organism in Eukaryota, Viridiplantae, Streptophyta, Magnoliopsida, Ranunculales, Papaveraceae.